This 445-nucleotide ribosomal RNA is filed under the name uncultured bacterium. RNAcentral's name for it is "bacterial SSU rRNA". It matches the Rfam family "Bacterial small subunit ribosomal RNA", at positions 354 to 796 of the family's 1533-position model. The record is from RNAcentral.
GUAAGGAAUAUUGGGCAAUGGACGCAAGUCUGACCCAGCCAUGCCGCGUGCAGGAUGAAGGCCCUAUGGGUUGUAAACUGCUUUUGUACGGGAAGAAACUUCCGCACGUGUGCGGAAUUGACGGUACCGUGCGAAUAAGCACCGGCUAACUCCGUGCCAGCAGCCGCGGUAAUACGGAGGGUGCAAGCGUUAUCCGGAUUCAUUGGGUUUAAAGGGUGCGCAGGCGGAAUGAUAAGUCAGUGGUGAAAUCCUACAGCUCAACUGUAGAACUGCCAUUGAUACUGUCGUUCUUGAGUAUAGUUGAAGUGGGUGGAAUGUAUCAUGUAGCGGUGAAAUGCAUAGAUAUGAUACAGAACUCCGAUAGCGAAGGCAACUCACUAAACUAUAACUGACGCUCAUGCACGAAAGCGUGGGGAGCAAACAGGAUUAGAAACCCGGGUAGUCC